GACGAACGCUGGCGGCGUGCUUAACACAUGCAAGUCGAACGGAAAGGCCCUGCUUUUGUGGGGUGCUCGAGUGGCGAAAGGGUGAGUAACACGUGAGUAACCUGCCCUUGACUUUGGGAUAACUUCAGGAAACUGGGGCUAAUACCGGAUAUGAGCUCCUGCUGCAUGGUGGGGGUUGGAAAGUGUCGGCGGUUGGGGAUGGACUCGCGGCUUAUCAGCUUGUUGGUGGGGUAGUGGCUUACCAAGGCUUUGACGGGUAGCCGGCCUGAGAGGGUGACCGGCCACAUUGGGACUACGAUACGGCCCAGACUCCUACGGGAGGAAGCAGUGGGGAAUAGUGCACAAUGGGCGGAAGCCUGAUGCAGCAACGCCGCGUGCGGGAUGGCGGCCUUCGGGUUGUAAACCGCUUGCGCCUGUGACGAAGCGUGAGUGACGGUAAUGGGUGAAGAAGCACCGGCUAACUACGUG
This 468-nucleotide ribosomal RNA is filed under the name uncultured bacterium. RNAcentral describes it as "partial 16S ribosomal RNA". It matches the Rfam family "Bacterial small subunit ribosomal RNA", at positions 28 to 507 of the family's 1533-position model. The record is from RNAcentral.